Molecule: ribosomal RNA, 367 nt
Filed under: Calcidiscus leptoporus
Lineage: Eukaryota; Haptophyta; Coccolithales; Calcidiscaceae
Description: partial Bacterial small subunit ribosomal RNA
Rfam family: Bacterial small subunit ribosomal RNA
Source: RNAcentral
UCGUGAGAUGUUGGGAUAAGUCCCGCAACGAGCGCAACCCCUAUUCUUAGUUGCCAGCAUGUAAUGAUGGGGACUCUAAGAAGACUGCCUGCGCAAGCAGAGAGGAAGGAGGGGACGACGUCAAGUCAUCAUGGCCCUUACGUGUAGGGCUACACACGUGCUACAAUGGCGUAUACAGAGGGUCGCUACACAGCAAUGUGAUGCCAAUCUCAAAAAGUACGUCUCAGUUCGGAUUGGGGUCUGCAACUCGACCCCAUGAAGCUGGAAUCGCUAGUAAUCGCGCAUCAGCAAUGGCGCGGUGAAUACGUUCCCGGACCUUGUACACACCGCCCGUCAAGCGAUGGAAGUCAGGAGUACCUAAUGUCGG